UGGAUGACCCCACCAGCCAGGAAAUUGAGCGGGGCAAGUCAUACCUGCGGCUGCGGCCGGACCGUGUGGCCAUGCAGGAUGCGACGGCCCAGAUGGCCAUGCUCCAGUUCAUCAGCAGCGGGCUGCCCAAGGUGGCCGUGCCGUCCACCAUCCACUGUGACCAUCUGAUUGAGGCCCAGGUUGGGGGUGAGAAAGACCUGCGCCGGGCCAAGGACAUCAACCAGGAAGUUUAUAAUUUCCUGGCAACUGCAGGUGCCAAAUAUGGCGUGGGCUUCUGGAAGCCUGGAUCUGGAAUCAUUCACCAGGUAAAGCUGGGCUCAGCCUGCCGUCCCAAGGGCCGAAGCCAGAGAGUAUGUUCCAGGCCUAUGGGGGGAGGGGGUUCGAGGCCCAGGGGGGCUGAAGGGAACUGGAUGACAUCUCCAUCAGCUCUUAUGCUCUUCUUCGUUUUGAAACUGAUUUGCAUUAUGUCAUUAUACUUUCUCAUUUUCUGGGUGAGAAGUUAAAAUAAUCCCUCCUAACCACCCAGGUAACCAGCAUUUUAAGUGCGACAUGUUUCUUUCCACAUUGUCUUCUGGGCGUGUACUCAAGCAUCUCUAUUCCCGUAAACUCUCAUACAGAA
This 619-nucleotide small RNA is filed under the name Pongo abelii (Sumatran orangutan). Its description in RNAcentral is "retained intron". Lineage: Eukaryota; Metazoa; Chordata; Mammalia; Primates; Hominidae. The record is from RNAcentral.